UUGUAAUAUUUAAAUAAUAUUAUUAAGAAUAAUGUGCAUUUUUUCCAUAUAAGGACAUUGUAAUCUAUUAGCAUAUCCCAAAUUUAUCAUAAAAUAUAACUUAUAGUUUAUUCCAAUUAAAUUGCUUGCAUUUUAACACAGAAUAAAUGUUAUUAAUUUGAUAAAGUGCUGAUAGAUUUAUAUUAUUACAGAGCGUUAAUUUUUCGGAAUUAUAUAAUGGCAUAAUUAUCAUUGAUUUUUGUGUUUAUUAUAUGCUCUUGUAUGAUUAACAAUGCGAAAGAUUCAGGAUACCUUCGGGACCCGUCUUGAAACACGGACCAAGGAGUCUAACAUAUGUGCAAGUUAUUGGGAUGUAAACCUAAUAGCGUAAUUAACUUGACUAAUAAUGGGAUUAGUUUUUUAGCUAUUUAUAGCUAAUUAACACAAUCCCGGGGCGUUCUAUAUAGUUAUGUAUAAUGUAUAUUUAUAUUAUUUAUGCCUCUAACUGGAACGUACCUUGAGCAUAUAUGCUGUGACCCGAAAGAUGGUGAACUAUACUUGAUCAGGUUGAAGUCAGGGGAAACCCUGAUGGAAGACCGAAACAGUUCUGACGUGCAAAUCGAUUGUCAGAAUUGAGUAUAGGGGCGAAAGACCAAUCGAACCAUCUAGUAGCUGGUUCCUUCCGAAGUUUCCCUCAGGAUAGCUGGUGCAUUUUAAUAUUAUAUAAAAUAAUCUUAUCUGGUAAAGCGAAUGAUUAGAGGCCUUAGGGUCGAAACGAUCUUAACCUAUUCUCAAACUUUAAAUGGGUAAGAACCUUAACUUUCUUGAUAUGAAGUUCAAGGUUAUGAUAUAAUGUGCCCAGUGGGCCACUUUUGGUAAGCAGAACUGGCGCUGUGGGAUGAACCAAACGUAAUGUUACGGUGCCCAAAUUAACAACUCAUGCAGAUACCAUGAAAGGCGUUGGUUGCUUAAAACAGCAGGACGGUGAUCAUGGAAGUCGAAAUCCGCUAAGGAGUGUGUAACAACUCACCUGCCGAAGCAACUAGCCCUUAAAAUGGAUGGCGCUUAAGUUGUAUACCUAUACAUUACCGCUAAAGUAGAUGAUUUAUAUUACUUGUGAUAUAAAUUUUGAAACUUUAGUGAGUAGGAAGGUACAAUGGUAUGCGUAGAAGUGUUUGGCGUAAGCCUGCAUGGAGCUGCCAUUGGUACAGAUCUUGGUGGUAGUAGCAAAUAAUCGAAUGAGACCUUGGAGGACUGAAGUGGAGAAGGGUUUCGUGUGAACAGUGGUUGAUCACGAGUUAGUCGGUCCUAAGUUCAAGGCGAAAGCCGAAAAUUUUCAAGUAAAACAAAAAUGCCUAACUAUAUAAACAAAGCGAAUAUAUACACUUGAAUAAUUUUGAACGAAAGGGAAUACGGUUCCAAUUCCGUAACCUGUUGAGUAUCCGUUUGUUAUUAAAUAUGGGCCUCGUGCUCAUCCUGGCAACAGGAACGACCAUAAAGAAGCCGUCGAGAGAUAUCGGAAGAGUUUUCUUUUCUGUUUUAUAGCCGUACUACCAUGGAAGUCUUUCGCAGAGAGAUAUGGUAGAUGGGCUAGAAGAGCAUGACAUAUACUGUUGUGUCGAUAUUUUCUCCUCGGACCUUGAAAAUUUAUGGUGGGGACACGCAAACUUCUCAACAGGCCGUACCAAUAUCCGCAGCUGGUCUCCAAGGUGAAGAGUCUCUAGUCGAUAGAAUAAUGUAGGUAAGGGAAGUCGGCAAAUUAGAUCCGUAACUUCGGGAUAAGGAUUGGCUCUGAAGAUUGAGAUAGUCGGGCUUGAUUGGGAAACAAUAACAUGGUUUAUGUGCUCGUUCUGGGUAAAUAGAGUUUCUAGCAUUUAUGUUAGUUACUUGUUCCCCGGAUAGUUUAGUUACGUAGCCAAUUGUGGAACUUUCUUGCUAAAAUUUUUAAGAAUACUAUUUGGGUUAAACCAAUUAGUUCUUAUCAAUUAUAACGAUUAUCAAUUAACAAUCAAUUCAGAACUGGCACGGACUUGGGGAAUCCGACUGUCUAAUUAAAACAAAGCAUUGUGAUGGCCCUAGCGGGUGUUGACACAAUGUGAUUUCUGCCCAGUGCUCUGAAUGUCAAAGUGAAGAAAUUCAAGUAAGCGCGGGUCAACGGCGGGAGUAACUAUGACUCUCUUAAGGUA
RNAcentral lists this non-coding RNA (2165 nucleotides) under Drosophila sechellia. RNAcentral describes it as "Eukaryotic large subunit ribosomal RNA". It matches the Rfam family "Eukaryotic large subunit ribosomal RNA", at positions 436 to 2281 of the family's 3401-position model. The record is from Rfam by way of RNAcentral. Lineage: Eukaryota; Metazoa; Arthropoda; Insecta; Diptera; Drosophilidae.